UUUAAAUAAUUAUUUUAAAUAAAAUCUGCUCAAUGAAAUUUAAAUAGCCGCAGAUAUUCUGUGCUAAGGUAGCAUAAUCACUUGUUUUUUAAUUUAAAACUAGAAUGAAUGAUUUUACGUUCUAAUUUAUUUAUUUUUUAUAAAUAAUUUAAUUUAUAUUAAAUAUAAAAAUAUAUUUAUAAAAUAAUUAGACGACAAGACCCUAUUGAAUUUUACUUAUGUUUAGCUGGGGCAGCUUUUUAAUAUAUAUUUUAAAUUUAUACUUAAAAUUUUUCUAAUAUUAUUAAUUUUAAAAAUUACCAUAGGGAUAACAGCGUAAUAAUAUUUUUAAGUUCUUAUUUUAAAUAUUGAUUGCGACCUCGAUGUUGAAUUAUUAUUUCUUUUAUACGCAAUAGUUUAAAUAGUAGGUCUGUUCGACCUUUAAUAUAUUACA
RNAcentral lists this ribosomal RNA (433 nucleotides) under Helvibis cf. longicauda MS98. RNAcentral's name for it is "partial 16S ribosomal RNA". The record is from RNAcentral. Lineage: Eukaryota; Metazoa; Arthropoda; Arachnida; Araneae; Theridiidae.